CCUACGGGUGGCAGCAGUGAGGAAUAUUGGUCAAUGGACGAGAGUCUGAACCAGCCAAGUAGCGUGAAGGAUGACUGCCCUAUGGGUUGUAAACUUCUUUUAUAUGGGAAUAAAACAGGGUAUGCAUACCCUCUUGUAUGUACCAUAUGAAUAAGGAUCGGCUAACUCCGUGCCAGCAGCCGCGGUAAUACGGAGGAUCCGAGCGUUAUCCGGAUUUAUUGGGUUUAAAGGGAGCGUAGGUGGAUUGUUAAGUCAGUUGUGAAAGUUUGCGGCUCAACCGUAAAAUUGCAGUUGAAACUGGAAGUCUUGAGUACAGUAGAGGUGGGCGGAAUGCGUGGUGUAGCGGUGAAAUGCUGAGAUAUCACGCAGAACUCCGAUUGCGAAGGCAGCUUACUGGGCUGUAACUGACACUGAUGCUCGAAAGUGUGGGGAUCAAACAGGAUUAGAUACCCUUGUAGUC
RNAcentral lists this ribosomal RNA (460 nucleotides) under uncultured bacterium. RNAcentral's name for it is "partial 16S ribosomal RNA". It matches the Rfam family "Bacterial small subunit ribosomal RNA", at positions 338 to 795 of the family's 1533-position model. The record is from RNAcentral.